Vidua chalybeata is the source of this 975-nucleotide long non-coding RNA. RefSeq lists it as uncharacterized. The record is from RefSeq and is a predicted model, not a curated record. NCBI's taxonomy places the organism in Eukaryota, Metazoa, Chordata, Aves, Passeriformes, Viduidae. The transcript has 4 exons.
UCUGUGUCAGGCAGCUGCAGCACUGCACCCCUGAGCUGCUCAUUGAUCAAUCCUGUUCCAAUCAAAACCUGAUGGACGGCCACUUUUAUUGAUCUGAGUAGGAAGACUCUGGAAACGGAGUGGAGAUGCAGAGGAUUUUUAAACCAGACUGACAAAUCCUGAACAUACAAGUAAACACUGUAACUUUCAGCCAGCCAGCCAACAUCCAGAAACAAGACAUUCUAAGGAAGAAAAUACCAUCAGCAGCAGAAUCCACCCCUGAAAGCAGGUCCAGUGCAAGGACUGGAUUCCAAGGAGCUCUGCAAGCCACACAGGGCUGCCAGAAAAAGGGAACAAGUGCUGCCCUGCAAAGCAGUCAGCGUGAGCUGCGUCCUGCCACACACCUCACAGCAUCAGGCCAAAAUUAUUCCCUCAUCUCCCAUGUGAAGGACUCCAGAGGUGUUCCAGCUGGCCAAAAGGCUGCCAAAUUCCUCUGCAGCUCUACUGCAGGACUCUGCCCAUUCCCCUUCCUGCUGGGAUUCCAGAAGCACUUUCUGGUUGCAAGAGUGAACAGCAGGAAUUGUGGUGAAUCAAGAGGACUCAAACCUGUGCUGAAGUUCGUGCCCCUCUGGGGUUCCACAACACUGAGUCAUUUAUUUGCCUUUUCAUCUCUUUGCCUUCCUUGCCAAGACCUGCCCUGCUGAAAUGAUCACCUGCCCCAUCACUUUUUUCAUCAGGGUGUCACACCUGCCCUGUAAGCUCUGCCCCCCUGCUCGGUCAGGGGGGCUCUGCUGAAGGUGGGAGUCUGGCUCUGCUAGGAUUCACAUCUACACUCACAGCCUGCUUCCAAUGGAAAUGUAGAGGAUUCUUUUCUGGAGCAUGCACAGGAAAUCCCUGGAUGGUGACAUUUGGAAUUGGGGUCGGGAAAGGCUGCUCUCUGCAGGUCUUGGAGCACACAGCCCUUUCUGGAAGCCAGCAUGAUCAUGGAGACAAGUG